UAAGAAUGGUUCUAAUGAACUAUUUAGAGUAUAGUGAAGCUACUUUUGCUUCCCAAUGAGAUCAAACCCUAGGUUUGACAUGAGUAUUGGAGCUAGGGCACCAAAUUGGGGCUUUUGCUCAUGAGGGUUUUUAAGUGCAAUUGACCCUCUAAAAACCUAAUUGGGGGUAUUUCCGACGCAUUGGUGCGCUCGGAUUAACGUUACGAAAAGUCAAAGUAAAGUUAUGAGCAAAAUGGCCUUAUAAGGGUUCGUUUUGCCGCAGGUAAAGAACGAAGCAUCGAAAAAUCCCAAGAAAAUCAUCGAGGCACCUUUGAAAGCCUACAAGGUGGGUGGUGCUUUCCAAACUCAUUGAAAUUCUCUCUAUGCCUAAUGUGUCAUUCUUUGAGCAUACGUUAUAUGUGUUGUUGCAUGCAUUUUAGGGUAAGGUAAUGAAGAGAAUGUGAUGAUGCAUGAUUGUGAGUACAACUUGCAUAAUGUGAUGGUUAAGAACCUUAUGAAAGUUAAAACCCUAUAUGUAUGCAUGAGAGAAAAUGUGAGCACCCAAAGUGAGCAAAAGAACAGAGUGGCACAAUGACAUAGAUCGAGUGGCAUCUAAAUAAUGUAAAGUAAAGUGACACUAGAGUUAGUGUGAAGCAAAGAACUGAAGUGAUAUAAAGAAUAAUGACGAUUACUGAAGCUAAAGCAAAGAGAGCAAUAAAGAACGGAUAAAGAAUAAAGAACGUGUAAAGCUAAAGAAUGUGAUUGCUAGAGUUAGCAAAAGUAAAAGGAAAUGUAAAGAAUGUGAUUGCAUGAGUUUGCAACAUAAAGUGAUGUAAAGAACACUAGAGCAAGUGUAAAGUCAAGAUUGAACUUAUAAAUCCUUUGAGUUAAGGAUAUGAUCAUACUUGCUAUGAGUUCCGUGCUCGAGGGCGGUCGCUCCCCCUCGGGCGAUGCGCUCCGG
This 940-nucleotide long non-coding RNA is filed under the name Ananas comosus (pineapple). Its description in RNAcentral is "long non-coding RNA (ACOM_LNC037583)". Lineage: Eukaryota; Viridiplantae; Streptophyta; Magnoliopsida; Poales; Bromeliaceae. The record is from RNAcentral.